CGUUGCCUAAGGAUGGGGCCGCGGCCGAUCAGGUUGUUGGUGGGGCAAAGGCUCACCAAGCCUAUAACCGGUACGGGCCAUGAGAGUGGGAGCCCGGAGAUGGGCACUGAGAUAAGGGCCCAGGCCCUACGGGGCGCAGCAGUUGCGAAACCUCCACAAUGCACGAAAGUGUGAUGGGGCUAACCCGAGUGCCGUCCGCUGAGGAUGGCUUUUCUCCGCUGUAAGGAGGCGGAGGAAUAAGGAGAGGGCAAGACUGGUGUCAGCCGCCGCGGUAAUACCAGCUCUCCGAGUGGUAGGGACGAUUAUUGGGCUUAAAGCGUUCGUAGCCGGCCUGGCAAGUCUCUCGUCAAAUCCAGCGACCCAAUCGCUGGGCCGCGGGAGAUACUGUCAGGCUUGGGAACGGGAGAGGCCGACGGUACUCUCGGGGUAGGGGUGAAAUCCUGUAAUCCCGGGAGGACCACCAGUGGCGAAGGCUGUCGGCUAGAACGCGUCCGACGGUGAGGGACGAAAGCUGGGGGAGCGAACCGGAUUAGAUACCCGGGUAGUCCCAGCUGUAAACGAUGCGGGCUAGGUGUCGGUGUGGCUACGAGCCACCCCGGUGCCGCAGGGAAGCUCUUAAGCCCGCCGCCUGGGAAGAACGGUCGCAAGGCUGAAACUUAAAGGAUUGGCGGGGGAGCAC
RNAcentral lists this ribosomal RNA (679 nucleotides) under uncultured archaeon. RNAcentral describes it as "bacterial SSU rRNA". It matches the Rfam family "Archaeal small subunit ribosomal RNA", at positions 197 to 879 of the family's 1478-position model. The record is from RNAcentral.